GUAGGGUGCAAGCGUUAAUCGGAAUUACUGGGCGUAAAGCGUACGCAGGCGGCUUUGCAAGAUAGGUGUGAAAUCCCCGGGCCUAACCUGGGAACUGCAUUUGUGACUGCAUGGCUAGAGUCUGUCAGAGGGGGGUGGAAUUUCCACGUGUAGCAGUGAAAUGCGUAGAGAUGUGGAAGAACACCGAUGGCGAAGGCAGCCCCCUGGGAUAAGACUGACGCUCAUGUACGAAAGCGUGGGGAGCAAACAGGAUUAGAUACCCUGGUAGUCCACGCCCUAAACGAUGUCUACUAGUUGUCGGAGGGUAACUCCUUCGGUAACGCAGCUAACGCGUGAAGUAGACCGCCUGGGGAGUACGGUCGCAAGAUU
RNAcentral lists this ribosomal RNA (369 nucleotides) under uncultured bacterium. Its description in RNAcentral is "bacterial SSU rRNA". It matches the Rfam family "Bacterial small subunit ribosomal RNA", at positions 527 to 895 of the family's 1533-position model. The record is from RNAcentral.